This is a long non-coding RNA of Cyprinus carpio carpio, 2561 nucleotides long. Lineage: Eukaryota; Metazoa; Chordata; Actinopteri; Cypriniformes; Cyprinidae. The record is from Ensembl.
UGUUUUUCUUUGGAGUGAAUUGUUGUUUUUCUUUCGUGUGGAUUUGCUGUGUUUGUAUUUGGAAAGCAGUUUCCCAUAGCCACACCUCUAUUCCUGAUAGAUUAAUGAACUAAUAAGUGAUGGAUGUUGGGGCGGAGCGGUUAAUAUGUUCCCUUAUAAAAAGACGUAAUAGUGACUGACAGAGAUGGGUGGUGGCAGCAUCGUGUAUUCGUAACCGAAGUCAACACAGUGCGUGAGAAAUCACGUGGUGUCUGUAUCAGAGCGUGAGUGUUUGUGGUUCACUCUCACUCAUGUUGAGACGGCUUGUGGCUACGAGAGACUGUAGCACACUGUAGACGAGGACCAUAAAGUCGACGAUUCGCGGAACACUGCUGGAGUAGCAGCAUAUGAGACAGGCUGAGGGCCGGCUGCGAGGGACUAUCGUGAGUGUUGGGAGACGAUAAGAAAACGACGUGGCUCUUCUGCCGUGAACACAUUGGACUGGAUAGCAGGGUUGCUGUCCAGUCAUGCACAUCGGGCUGAUACUGAUCUCUAUGUGUGACUGAGUGUUAACGGAUAGCCGCUGUAAUACCGAGGUCUAGUAGAGACUGAGUUAAACCCUGCCCUUGAGCUGAAGAUCUGGACUUUGGACUUGCUUGUUGUUUUAUAAAUUUGAUGUUUCUCUUGCAACUAAUUUUAUUGUAAUAAACUGUUCUUCUACUGAGCAUUCCUGGGUGUUGGUUUCCACUGUUCCCUCCUCCGAUAAAGAACCUGUGUUUAAUAUUGGGUUCCUGGGGUCUCAGUUUCUACUCUAGGUGGCGUAGUCGGCUACAAAAGUUAAAUAUAUGUUAUAUACACAUUUGGCCACUGACAUAAUUUGGCGCAGUCGGCAGGAUUCAGAUACGGGAACGGUGGAACAGCACUUGAUAGAAUAUUAAAAAAAAAAUAUAUAAUAAUGAUGAUGCCAGUGUUUCCUGGUGCCCCUUGGGUGCCCAAGUUUACGGGUGCUGAUUGUGAUUUGAAGUAUGGAGAUUGGAAAGAACAAAUGCAAGGGCUUUUAGAAGCACAAGAAGUACCUGAAGCAAAGAAAGUUAAAAUUGUAAUGGGUGGUGAUGCAAAGCGGGAAAUAAGCGUUUUGGCUGAUGGAGAUAGGGAUAAAGCCAAUACGAUUUUUGAGCAUUUAGACACUUUGUAUGCUGGAGAAAUACCUCUUCCUGUCCUUAGGUCACAUUUUUUAGUUGCAGACAGAGACAAGAUGAAUCUUUUAAGAUGUUUGUGUUGCGAUUACGAGAACUCUAUUGUAGGUUGCGGCGACGUAGUCCAGAAGGGGCCCUUGUUGAAGAUCAACAAGGUGGGCCUGGUAGGGUUGAUUCUCGCUUACAGGAGACUGACUGGAAAGCUGAAUUAAAGCGAGAAAUUCUGGAGGAAGUUAAAGGACAGAUGCGAGAUCUGACACAGGAAAUGAUGAAGGAGCUAAAGUCAUCUAGCCCAGUGGCACAAUUAAAUCAUGCACAACCUAAUUAUGUACCUUUCCAGCCACAAACUGUUUCUUCUAGGCGACAAAGGGGGCAGUCUUCCUUGAAUAUGUGGGAUGCAGAGGGGAGGCCGAUCUGCCGGCACUGUCAACAGUCAGGACAUAUAGCAAGGUAUUGCAAGGAAAGUGUGCUGCCUAAUGGAGAUUUAAACUAAUUUGCCCUGCUGCAGAGGUCCAGGCGGUGGGGCCAGUAAGAGUAUCAGAAAAUUCAAGGACCAUUUCUUCUUUCAUUGGUGGCUGUCCGAUGGUGAGUGUUAUGAUUCAGAACAUUAAGUGUACAGGACUGUUGGACACCGGCUCUCAAGUCACGCUGAUGCAACAGAGUAUGUUUGAGGAGAAGUUCCCUCAGUAUAAGUUGGGCCAAGCCCCUGUUUUGAUUUUAAGAGCUGCAAAUGGCCUAGAAAUCCCCUAUAUUGGAUAUGCUUCGUUUGAUUUUAAUGUUGCUGGAGUUCAAGUUUCAGAGCGGGGUGUUGUCAUUGUAAAAGACGAAUUUUCUACAAACCCUUUAAUAAUUGGUAUGAACGUAAUUUCACAAUGUUGGAGUGCUCUCUUUCAGAAUGAGGUGCAGUCUUCAUCUUUGUUCCAGAGUACCAGAGAACGACAAGCAUGGCAGCAGGUCAUGGCAGUUUGUCAGCGUGUUGCAGCAUGCACUCACGAAGAUGGGUUACUGGGCAAUGUGUGGUUGGCUAACAGACGAGGUGUACGUGUUCCACCAAGGAGUGAAGUUAUGGUCUGGGGACGUGCUCGAAUGGGUCUGCGACAGCGUGAUUACUGUGGACUUGUGGAGCCUGUGUCUGAACAACCUGUGGCUGCUGCACGAACAAUUGCCAUGGUAAGGGGUGGUAGAAUCCCUGUGAGACUCUGUAAUAUACAUCCAUACAGUGUUUUCGUAGGAAAAUAUCAGAAGCUUGGACGGCUAUAUGAAAUCAAUAGCUCUGAUAUUCAUGGCUGCAGGGACCUUGGAUUAACCUUGAAUACUGAAGGCAUUGUGGAGGUGAGGCUUACUGAAGCUAGCCUCCUCGUAGAAGAUGCAGUUUCCCCUGAUAUA